CCGAUUGAAGAUGAGCCAGUACAACACCCAGAGCCAAAUCCCAGGUAAUGAUCAAAUCCACCCUCGAUCUGUUUCGACCCUCCCACCCUUUUGAUGUCGAUUCUCUCUCUAUCUCUCUCUCUAGUUUUUGCCGAUCUGAUCUUGGUCAAAAUCGUUUCUCCUGCUCCUCUUCUCAAUGCAUUGGUGUUCUGCAAAUCGAGCGGGUUUAUAUGGACUUAGGAUUUGCAGAAUUCGCACGUUGGUCGUAAUUAGGGUCGAGCAAGAGCUCCAAAGUCGGAUAGUGGUCGGUGGACGAUUGUGACAGUAGUGGUUCAGGAAUCCGUUUGUUCAUCUGUUGUUGUUUUUAGACUUGACAAAGAAAUCGAUCUAGCUCUCCUUCUUUCGGGUUAGAACUUGUGUUUUUCUUGGGAGGAGCCGCCGGCGGUCUUCCAGGGGGCCUGGUGGAGGCGGCUGUGGCUGCUGGCCCCACCACCGAAGUUCAAACAACCUUUUCAAACUAUUGAGCUUGAAUUAUGUGCUCUUGGGUAUUCAUAUAUCGAUGACUUGUGAUGACAAUAUGCAAUAUUCUGUGCAGAGGCGUACCCACCACCGGCAUCAGCACCUGUGUACGUGGCGCCACCACCGCUCGGCUAUCCCGCGAGGGACGCCCAACAGCCAGUGCAGAACACCGUCCCUAUCGAGACCAAGACUAGGGGCGACGGCUUCUGGAAGGGCUGGUAAGUGAUUAUCUCGCAAUGCAGCCCCUCCUUUGCUUCUGCAUAUUUAUACACAUUCGCUUGUCCUAAUUGCGCUCCUUCUUGUCUUCACCAGCUGCGCUGCGAUCUGCUGUUGCUGCGUCCUGGAUGCCUGCUUCUAGGAAUUCCCAGGAGAGGAUCGCCUUCCGCUUGAUUCGUUGAUCUUUGUGUUUAGCAUUCGAUUCUACAGAUCUUCUUUUGUCAUUCUUGAGAUAAAUGGGACAUGUUGUAGUCAUCAUAUACCUUUAUUAUUGCUGUGAUAUAUACUAGCGUUCUUGGGUUUUUCUUGCAUCUUUUAUGUCACACUUCAACCCCGAGUUUCCCUUCUCUUUCUCAUCCACGAAGCGAGUCCAAGAUGAAUUUAAGAUUGAGAUCCAAGCUACAUGCGAAAGUAGACGUACCUAUUCUUAUUAACAAGACAUUUGGGUAGCUCAUCGCUUUAGAGAGGUGAACAUAAUUAUAGAUUGGGCGCAAAAGCCUAAACAAGAAAAUCCUUGUCACGAAAUAGAAUCUCAUUUCCCCUCCCUUUGGAGUCCUAUUGAACCGACUUGGUGGGCCUUGACGUCUUGUCUUAGCAAAAUUGAAUGCCACUCAUCAUUCAACCAAGAAAAAAAAGGAUUUCUAUGCCACGUGUUCAUAUUUAUGCACAUGUUACUCCUGAACAUUUGGCUCUGAACAUGUGGCUCGUUCGUUGCUCGAUGGAGACUUGACAUUUCUUUUCGGUCGUUAAAUCACAAUGCGUUUCCUAAGUUUCUGUCGAUCGAGCACGAAACUCCCGUUGCGUGUGCGUUUUGAGGUCAGAAGAUUGCACGGGACUCGCCUCGACUCUUUCUUCGACAACCAAAGUUGACCAAACAACUUAGAUUGGAUUAGAAAGAGGCCCAAUAGUUUCACACCAUUCGGCGACAACAAGGUGCCAUGUGGCAGUAUUUUGACCCUAUUUGGGAUCACAAGUAUAAUGAGGUACGUAACCAACCCCGCCCCAGGCCCCCCCAGCCAACAGCAUCAUGUCACGGCCAAGAGGUUUUCAAAGAUGAAGGACCAGGCCGUGACGCGGAGGACCUCCUGCACUCGCUGGGAUUCCCAUCAAGUCUUCUUCCUGAAGUUUCCAAGGAUGGGCGACGCUGUCAUUACGCCUGAUUCUAGAAGUUUCUAGACUUAUUAAUGUCGGUAGAUGGUAGUUGCCAUUAAUGUCGGUAGUUGAGGCGGUGCGAUAUCAUCCACUGGAUAAAUUCUAGAUCAACGAAUGUAAUCAGAGGACCUUGAGUAUAAGAAGGGGUGCUCUCCCCCCUCAUUUGUAUCAUCCAACAUUUCAGUAAUACAAAGCUCAUUUCUUUCCAAAGCUCCUCUCUCUAGAAGCUUUAUCUCUCUACGAUCUGGGUGUGCGAGCGAGUUGUACGAUUGAUCAAGCAAGGCUUGGCUUGGGUGAUCCAAAGUGCUCGAGUCGCUAUGCGGUCACGAUCCCAAUCGAUUGGCCUAUGACAAGUGGUAUCAGAGCAAAUGAGAGUUCUGUUUUGAGAGAUCGAGGAGCACCAUCUGAUCGAGAGAAUGUCGAGCCAAGAAGCUGCUAUGGAUGGAGAGGCCGUGCAAGUCAAGGAGACCCACGGCUGAGCAAAGAAAAGAGAUGCCUUGAUGGAUGCCAUAGCUGCGUUCGAUGAGAAGAUCGGGAAGGUCCGGAGUGCCGUGCUCGAGCUCAUGGAAGGUCUUGACAAUGUGAGAGACCGGAUCAUGGAGGUUGAGACCUCACUCCGUGAAGACUUCACGACCAGCCUCAACAAAGCUACAGCCCCAUUGCACGAUAUGGACGAAGCCCUUGAAGCAUCGAUCGAUGUGUUGAAAGAGUGCGUCCAAGUGAUCGAGGAGGAAAGUCCGCAUAGGGACGAGGUCGAAGCCAUGAAGGCGGAGAUCCAAGAGCUCAAGACCGAGCUCGCCCUAUGCAAGCUAAGCAUUGCCGAUGGAGCAAUGCCAACACAAGCGGUGCCCAAGCUCAAGGUGCCGAAGCCAAAAGAGUUCAAAGGCGAACAAUCCACCAAAAAGGUGGACAACUUUGUUUGGAGCAUGGAGUAAUACUUUGGCAUUGUCAACAUCCAAAAUGAGUCAAUCCAGGUACAAACCACUUUGAUGUUCCUUUCUGAUACUACAAUGCUUUGGUGGCAAAAUAGGUGCGAUGAGACUAGGCGCGGUGCCAAUCCCAUGGAGACAUGAGAUGACUUCAUAAGGGAAUUCCGAGACUAUUUCUUCCCCGAGUUUGCUCAACAAGAAGCCCGUAGCAAGCUGCAUCGCCUCGAACAAAGAGGUGCCAUCCGAGAGUACGCGAAGGAGUUCACGGAGCUCAAACUCCAAAUCCGCAACCUAAAUGAGGAGGAGUCUCUCAGAGCGUUCAUGGAUGGAUUGAAGCCGUGGGCACUACUCAAGCUCAAGCGACGAUGUGUCGAGUCUCGCGAGAGCGCUAAGCGUGGCCGAGUCACUCGUCGAACUCACCAAAGUCAAACCGAGGAAUAAAGCAAGGGAUUGGAGGUCGGAUCGAUCCGAGGACGAAGGAAGGAACACUCCCCGAGGCCGGCAUGAACAAAGCGGCCUAGUCAAAACCUGGGGUGAAGGCACUUCUAAGCCAGCCUUCCAAAAGGGUCGACCAACGAACUGCUUGACAAGUAAGUUCGAUCAACCCCCGCCUUCUCCUUGUUUUAUCUACAAAGGUUCGCAUUGGACCCAAAAGUGCCCGAAGAAGGGUCGAAUCAAUGCCCUCCUUGCCAUCGAGGAAGAGGAGGAGCCUAAAGAAGACAAGCGGCAAAUCCGGCUUGGAGCUGUGAAGAUGAUCAACUCCGUCCAAGCUCAAUCACCGUCCAAAGAAAAAGAGGUUGCGUCGAACUCGGACAUGUUCUUCGUGGAAGUCAACGUGUGCGGCCGAACGCUAUACGUCUUGGUCAACAUGGGUGCGUUGAACAUGUUCAUGUCGACCGAAGUGGCGAAGGCCUUGAAACUUCGCGUGGAGCCAAUCGGGAAUUCCUUCAAGCCUAUCAACUCGGAGGGCCUCCAUGGUGUAGGAUCGACUUCGGAUGUGGAUGUCAAAAUCGGCAGAUGGAAGGGCAAGAUGGCAUUUGAGGUAAUCCCUCUCGACGAUUAUGAUCUCAAUUUGGGAAUGCAAUUCUUCGAUAGCGUGAGAGCCAUGAUCAACAUGAGGACCAAGUGCAUUAUGAUCCUCGACCCAAAAUGCCCGUCGAUGAUUCCCAUGAUCAAAGCAAUUGACACCAAGACCAUUGUGACGAUCCGACACUUUGACAAGAGCUUGAAGGCCGUGAAGUGCAUGAACAAGCCGGUUGAGGAGAAGUCGAAGGUAGAGCUAGAUCCUACUCCAACUCACGCCAUGCCAAUUCAAGCACUCUUCCCCAAGGUUGAGUACGCGUCGCAUGAUCUGUCCAAGCCGAAGACGGAGCCAUGUGCCACGCUCGAGCUGAUAAUCGAAGGGUGUGGUCCGUCGUUUGUGAGCAUCCGCACCAAACGAAACCGAAACAAGAAAGCCCAUGCCAAAGCCCGUGCUUGUGCGAAGAAGGCCGCUCGUCAAGCUGUGAGCAACGAGGGCGUCACUCGAUUGAGUGGGGCAGAAUGUCACGGCCAAGGGGUUUCCGAAGAUGAAGGACCGGGCUGUGAUGCGGAGGACCUCCUGCACUCGUUAGGAUUCCCAUCAAGUCUUCUUCCUGAAGUUUCCAAGGGCAGGCGACAUCGUCAUUAUGCCUGAUUCUAGAAGUUUCUAGCCUUUUUAAUGUCGGUAGAUGGUAGUUGCCAUUAAUGUCGGUAGUUGAGGCAGUGCAAUCUCGUCCACCGGAUAAAUUCUAGAUCAACAGAUGUAAUUAGAGGGCCUCGAGUAUAAGAAAGGGUGCCCUCUCCCCUCAUUUGUAUCAUCCAACAUUUCAGUAAUACAAAACUCCUUUCUUUCUAGAGCUCCUUUCUCUAGAAGCUUUCUCUCUCUACGAUCCAGGUGUGCGAGCGAGUUGUGCAAUUGAUCGAGCAAGGCUUGGCUUGGGUAAUCCAAAGUAAUCGAGUCGCCGCGCGGUUACGAUCCCAAUCGAUUGGCCUGUGACAAUCAGCGACGACAUACUGUAGCUUAUUGAAUUUCAUCACCAAAAUUUUAAUCUUUUAUUGAAUUUUGAAUAUUCGAAAUUGGGUGAAAGGACUAAACUGAUAAAUCGUUAAAAUGUUCAAGACUAAAUUGACAAAUCAUAAAAAAGUUUAUGAUUGAAUUGGUAAUUUGUCUAAAAUUUUUAAAUUAAAUUGAUACAAUUAAAAUGUUUAGAAUUGAAUUGACCACUGUACGAUAGAUUUAUAAUCUGUUGAACAAUUUUCUCGAAAGAAAGUAUAUUCCAGAAAAAUAAAAAAUAAAAAAUAAAAAAUAAAAAAAAAUAUAUAAGGGUUGCUAUUAGGGCGCAAUGGUUAUAUCUUCCGAAGACGCAAUCAUCAUCCUUAUUUCUCUCGACUAAGAAACAAGAGUCAAAUGUAUCAUUUUGCAAAGUUUGCUUUUCAUGGCACCUCAUUUUUUUAAUUAGAAAAAGGAAAACAGCAUAGCAAUCUUGAUAUGGAGUUUUUUUUCAAAAAUAAAUCUCACUCCUUUUUUUAUGUACAUAUAUGUGCAAUGCUCACAAGGAUCAAAUACCGGAUCCGAUACUCUUCAGCCUCACCCCUUUAAUCCCUUUAUUAGCAGGACUGCAAGCCUUUUGCCAUCUGGUUAUAGAGUUGGAAGUGGGGUUUUUGGUCACCUUUCAAAUUUUUUUUUUUUUUUUUUUGUUUCUUUUGGACCUUCGCAUGUCCGUCUCCUCUGUCGAGCAUGUGAGUUUAACUAAUCCACAUCUCGAUUCUUCAAAAAGCAACAAAUCUAAUAUAAAUUACAUAAAUAAACGACAAAACAGAUUGCUUACAGAAGAAUGCUAGCAGGUUUCGAAGGUUUGGACCGAACGAACGACCGACCGGCCGAGCGGCCCCACCAAAGAGCAUUCGCAUUAGGCGACGCGGAGAAGGAAAAGGAAAAAACGGCAGAGACGUACGCAAUACGACAUCAUUAUUUUUUGCAAAUAAAUAAAUACAUGAAUAAAUUAGAAACUGUUUCGACGAGGGCUGAGGAGAUCGGCCCUGAGACGACACCGCGUUUUUUCUCCCUUCGUGGGCCGCAUCAAACAAAGACAGCACGGCCUCCUCCUCGGCUUUGUUUAAUCCUCACGUUGGCUGGCUGACGCCGCCGAAAAGCGCCACCUGUCACGAAUUAAGAAGGUCCUCAAAAGUCCUCAUUCAACUCCAAUCUGUAUUAUUCGUCAACCUUUUGAGAUUCCUUUAUUCACGAUUCUAUAAUCCAAUUAAGUAAUGAAAGUAACUAAUCCGGCACGUUAUAGAAAAAUUAGAAUGCAUUUGCUACAUUGAAAACUUAGUCAUAUGUGAAAAUAUUAGGAAAAUAAUUAGUUUUCAUUUAUUUGGCGAUCAGGAAAAGUGACUUUCUUUUUGCCAAAAUGAGAAAUCAUUUUCCCAUAUCUAAGCUUGUUGUCCAUGGAAAAUGUUAGAGAUAAUUAGGAUAGUACUCUAAGAUAUUAUCCUAUAUUAUAUAUAAUUAGAAUACUAUGUUGGCUUUCUGACUCUCAAAAUUGUGUGAUAUCUACUUUGAUUGUGCAUAUCUUGAUUGAUAUAUUUUAUCUUUGAUAGUCUCUUACAAAGUCUAUAAAUAUACCGAUGUGCUCUUCAUUAUAAUAUAUCGAAAUAUAUUGAGAAUUCUCAUCUUCUCUCUUUAAUGUUUUUACAUUUAACAAAAAUCAUUUUCUUUAGUUCAAUUAGCUUUCCGUUAUACAAAAAUCGAAAAGUCAAGAAAUUUUUUUUCUCGAAAAUAGUCUUCCUUUAAACAAAUAAACCCUAAACUUGUUCAAUAACUCUAAUUGGCAUCAGUGUAUAGAAUCCAAUCAAGUGAGGAACUCACUCAUUAUGUUAGGUGACAUCAAGAUUACCCCAUGUGUGUCUAAUAAAAUCGGAAAUUAUAGGUAUGAGAAAAUCACCCCAAUUGCACUGUUUUAAGAUCUGCUGCAAAUUAAUAACAAUGGACGAUUGAUCUUUCAAUAAUUAUCAAGGAAAUUUUCAAUGUUUUUGACACUUGCUUGCUAGGUCAUUUCGACACAAUCUCGGAGUUAAUCACAUCUUAUAAGAGUUUGUUUGGAAUGACUUUCGCUUCUUAAUUUUCUUCCUCAAUCUAAGUCUUGCAAUUUGCAUAAUCACUUUUUUCUUGUUUUUAAAUCCGAAACUCCCGAAAAUUAGUAACUUUCGUUUUUGAUUUUUGACAUACUAAAUUUUGACCAGGAAAAAAGAGGAAGUAAAAACGAGAACCGGUUCGUCAGCUAAAGUUCGGGAAGGACGGGAGAACGCUUUGGCUUGGCCUUUUGCUUAGUGUGUACGAGCUCCUGCGUCGCGACGCGCCUUCGGAAGCAUCGUCAACUACCGCCUGCUCCCCCUCCUCCUUCCCAGCAUCUUCUUACUCCUCCAUUCUUUCUAUAAAUCUCCGCACCAUAUCUGCAUUCUCAUCAUCUCCUAUCAUCUCUCUUGCUUCCUCUCUCCAUCAUCUCCACCAUCUACGUCAUCUCUCUCUCCAUCGUAUCUCUCCAAGCACAGAACUUCCUCGUGAGCUAGGAGAGAUCUCAGUCAACGUUUUCCGAUCGAAGAUGAGCCAGCACAACACCCAGAGCCAAAUCCCAGGUAAUGAUCAAACCCACCCUCGAUCUGUUUCGACUGUCCCGCCCUUUUGAUGUCGAUUCUCUCUAUCUCUCUCUCUAGUUUUUGCCGAUCUGAUCUUGGUCAAAAUCGUUUCUCCUGCUCCUCUUCUCAAUGCAGUGGUGUUCUGCAAAUCGAUCGGGUUUAUAUGGACUUAGGAUUUGCAGAAUUCGCACAUUGGUCGUAAUUAGGGUCGAGCAAGAGCUCCAAAGUCGGAUAGUGGUCGGUGGACGAUUGUAACAGUAGUAGUUCAGGAAUCCGUUUGUUCAUCUGUUCUUGUUUUUAGACUUGACAAAGAAAUCGAUCUAGCUCUCCUUUUCGGUUAGAAUUUGUGUUUGAAUUCUUGGGAGGAGCCGCCGGCGGUCUUCUUGGGGGCCUGGUGGAGGCGGCUGUGGUUGCUGGCCCAACCACCGAAGUUCAAACAGCCUUUUCAAACUAUUGACCUUGAAUUAUAUGCUCUUGGAUAUUCAUAUAUCGUUGACUUGUGAUGACAAUAUGCAAUAUUCUGUGCAGUGGCGUACCCACCACCGGCAUCAGCACCUGCGUACGUGGCGCCACCACCGCCCGGCUAUCCCACGAGGGACGCCCAACAGCCAGUGCAGAACACCAUCCCCAUCGAGACCAAGACUAGGGGCGACGGCUUCUGGAAGGGCUGGUAAGUGAUUAUCUCGCAAUGCAGCCCCUCCUUUGCUUCUACAUAUUUAUACACAUUCGCUUGUCCUAAUUGCGCUCCUUCUUGUCUUCAC
This 8212-nucleotide long non-coding RNA is filed under the name Eucalyptus grandis. Its description in RNAcentral is "long non-coding RNA (EGRA_LNC000130)". The record is from RNAcentral. Lineage: Eukaryota; Viridiplantae; Streptophyta; Magnoliopsida; Myrtales; Myrtaceae.